Long non-coding RNA from Setaria italica (foxtail millet), 546 nucleotides. RefSeq lists it as uncharacterized. The transcript has 2 exons. Lineage: Eukaryota; Viridiplantae; Streptophyta; Magnoliopsida; Poales; Poaceae. The record is from RefSeq and is a predicted model, not a curated record.
UUCCAUGAGAGAUAGAGAAAGAGAUGAGCACGGCCGGAGAGGAAGAAGCUAGGAAGCUAUUGCUCUGUGUGGAAUGUUGUCUGGUUCUAGGCCUUGAGAGGGGACAUGCAUGGUCAUGCCUCGUCUUGUUUGGGCCCUCGGACCAGGCUUCAUUCCCCUCAGAGGUACCUUCCAGCCAUGGGUGAAUCUGGCGCUGUUCUCGAUCGAUCCCUGCAGGAGAAGGCCGCCCGGAAGGGAUGGGAUAACCGGAUAGGGAAGGUUGGUGCUAUGAUUCCUUCGAUCUUUCUUUUCAGGUUUCUGGGAUCUUGUGCUAGCGCAGGAGAGCGAGGAAGAGAUCGGUGCAAUGAUGCGACCUCUGACUCUUGAUUCAUCGAUCCCAUCGAUCAGUAUCUCUGCCAGGUGAUUGAAAAGGUAAAUACGUCUCUCAAGGAAGGAAAACAAGUCUAGUCCACCGCAGAUCCGCUAUUUUUUAAUUUAAAAGCCUGCACAUCCAUGAUAUACUAUCAUUUUCCUUGUUUUUUUAAUUAAAGCAUUUCUUUUCGUGUU